Molecule: non-coding RNA, 419 nt
Organism: Macaca mulatta (Rhesus monkey)
Lineage: Eukaryota; Metazoa; Chordata; Mammalia; Primates; Cercopithecidae
Source: RefSeq, a predicted model, not a curated record
AUGGAGUAUUACGAGAGCAUUAAAGUAAGAAGAACUAUAUCUGGAAGGCUGUGGUCCAAGGCCAUUUUUGCCAGCUAUAAGCGGGGUCUCCAAAACCAAAGGGACACACAGCUCUUCUUAAAAUUGAAGGUGUUUAUGCCCGAGAUGAAACAGAAUUCUAUUUGGGCAAGAGAUGCGCUUAUGUAUACAAAGCAAAGAACAACACAGUGAUUCCUGGUGGCAAACCAAAUAAAACCAGAGUCAUCUGGGGAAAGGUAACUCGGGCCCAUGGAAACAGUGGUAUGGUUCGUGCCAAAUUCCGAAGCAAUCUUCCUGCUAAGGCCAUUGGACACAGAGUCCGAGUGAUGCUGUACCCCUCAAGGAUUUAAACUAAUGAAAAAUCAAUAAAUAAACGUGGAUUUGUGCUCUUGUAAAAAAAA